ACUUACUGCAUUCUUUUUUUGUUCUAUAAGGAAAUGAAUGACUUGUCUUCCGAACUAUACUGUAAGUUUCUGCCGAACAGAGGCUCUGUUACAAUUCUCUGCCAUUCUCAGUGUCUACCAUACAGCAAUGUUCUACAAAUACUUGUUGCCUUGGAUAAACUGUAAAAACUGUUAAUAACUCUAGAGAAUAUACACUUACAACACUUCGCUCCAGCGCUGGGGAAUACAAGUAGCAGACGUUUCUGUAGAUGUGUCACUCAGACUCAACAUGAAAAAUUAGAGCAUGUUAAGACAGAGGAAACUGGAUGAAUGUUCCUAUGUUUUCGUCUAUGCCACCAAAGAAGUAAAAUGCUUCCUCAAAUAUCCCACCCCUCUUAAAAUGAGAUGAGUUAGACUUCCC
This 400-nucleotide long non-coding RNA is filed under the name Callithrix jacchus (white-tufted-ear marmoset). RNAcentral describes it as "lncRNA (ENSCJAG00000073205.1)". The record is from RNAcentral. Lineage: Eukaryota; Metazoa; Chordata; Mammalia; Primates; Cebidae.